Molecule: long non-coding RNA, 201 nt
Filed under: Aquilegia coerulea
Lineage: Eukaryota; Viridiplantae; Streptophyta; Magnoliopsida; Ranunculales; Ranunculaceae
Description: long non-coding RNA (ACOE_LNC000583)
Source: RNAcentral
CUGUCGAUAGGAAAGGUUGAUUUUGUCCUUGCUGUGGAUGCUGAAAUCUAUGUUGCAUAGAACCUUGCUGAAACUGUGUCAUGGAAGGCUGAUUAUUAACCAAUGUGGUUUGAUGUAUAGCUAACCUUGACCUUCCUGUACCCUCCCCAUCAUCCCAGGCUGGAUCUUAUUUUGCGAGAGAGAUGAUGGUCCAGGAUAAGG